This 470-nucleotide ribosomal RNA is filed under the name uncultured bacterium. Its description in RNAcentral is "bacterial SSU rRNA". It matches the Rfam family "Bacterial small subunit ribosomal RNA", at positions 332 to 793 of the family's 1533-position model. The record is from RNAcentral.
AUCACUCCUACGGGAGGCAGCAGUGGGGAAUAUUGCACAAUGGGGGAAACCCUGAUGCAGCCAUGCCGCGUGUGUGAAGAAGGCCUUCGGGUUGUAAAGCACUUUCAGUAGGGAGGAAGGUAGUGUUAGUUAACACCUGCAUUAUUUGACGUUACCUACAGAAGAAGCACCGGCUAACUCCGUGCCAGCAGCCGCGGUAAUACGGAGGGUGCGAGCGUUAAUCGGAAUUACUGGGCGUAAAGCGCAUGCAGGCGGCCUGUUAAGUCAGAUGUGAAAGCCCGGGGCUUAACCUCGGAAUUGCAUUUGAAACUGGCAGGCUAGAGUCUUGUAGAGGGGGUAGAAUUUCAGGUGUAGCGGUGAAAAUGCGUAGAGAUCUGAAGGAAUACCAGUGGCGAAGGCGGCCCCCUGGACAAAGACUGACGCUCAGAUGCGAAAGCGUGGGGAGCAAACAGGAUUAGAUACCCUGGUAG